CAUUACUAUCCCUCGGUUAAUCUGAGAACGGAGUCUCUGGUACACCACGGUCCAAACAGCCCCCACACUUCACUCCUUCCACCAAGGACUCGUGAGAAGGACCAGGUGUCUGAGGUCACCUCCAGGGAAGGGGUGGGUUUCUGUACAAGUGGCAGGAGGUACUCUGGUCCACCAAGUGGUGAGCUUCUUACUGGUGGGUGACCAGAAGAACAGAAUAUGGGGAUGUGUGACACACACCACUGAGGUCAAAGAUGCCUCUCCAACACCUACCAGGCAGGGCCAGGAGCAGAUCUCCUCAACCAGGCAGCAGGCUCUGAUGGAGCCAAGGAGGGCAUGAGGAGAAGCAGCCGGUGUCGCAUCAUACCUGAGUACUCUGCACCAGGGCUCUGGACGAGGCAGCUACAGUGCCAGUAUCUAUGUGAAUACUGAAGGGCUUGGAUGUAAGACUCCUCACUCUCUCAACUGGGACAGGAAAAAUAACUUUCUGGGCAAAAUGCUGAAGACUCUGGACAGGCUGUCAGAAAUGAAGGAAGUCCUGUCUGUCACUACAAUUACUCUGACACAACAGAGACAGGUCGGGCUCAAGAGGAGAGACAAUAAAAGCUUGGCCUCUCACAUCAGUACGGUCAUGGUUUCUCUCACCCAUAAAGCUAGCUUAACAAAGCAAAGCUCUGAAUUCUCCUCUGGACAGGCGAUGCCCACAUUGGUCCAUAUCGGGAGAACUUGCCAUCCCAUGAAAAUGACUUAAUUUCUGAAGUUCCUGAAGAACCUUGAAGUUCAAAGGAAGACAAGAGGCUUCCACAGCUCAGGUAGAAGAGGUGGAGAGGAGCAGGAAGUUAAGCACAAGGCGCAGGUGCCUGGGUUAACCAUGUUUGCCUGGUGUUCUAAGUAGCAAGGCCCUGGUUUCCUGCAUGGUUAUCUGGCUUCAGUUCUUUCUGGUCAACCAGGGUCAGGACCAUUUAACCCUAUGAACAUCCCUGGAGACUAAGUAAAUCAAAGAUCCUCCUGCUGUAGUAACCAACCGCCUGGCAGAACUUUGCAAACAGCAGCCACCGCUUCUCUGACCCUCUCUGCUCCCAUUUCAAAGGCACACUUUGCUUUGUUUCCUUAAAUAGCGGGAGGAGUGACCCAAUGGUCUCCAUGUCAAAGCUUGCACCUAACCGAUUCCUGCAUGUUCCUUUCCAGGCCACUGUUCGAGAGCUCUGUGGGAUGACUGCCAGCAGCACCAACUGAAGUCAAAAGAGAACCACAGACAAACUAAUAAUCUCGCCAUCACAGGCGCCCCGAGAUUUUCCCAUAAUGCCCAGUUUCUUAUCAUCUGCUAAGCAGUCAAUUGGCAUUUAGCUCUGAGUGUGUCUGUCACUUGUGACUCCGCCUCCUGGUGUAGCAGAAUCGCAUAACCACUGCCAUUCUCACUCUCUCCCAGCUCACAGGAAUCAUUCCUUCUCUCCGUUAUAAGAUUCAAACUCACGCUCAGCAAGCAGUCGAUUUCUGGAUGGUUUUUAAAAAGGUGUUUAUGACAAUCACUCUUAGUUUUCAGGGCAGCAUCCUCAGAACUUUCCCUGAGGAUGCUGAGGACCUUCGCUUUCUUUAGAAGCAGGCUGUAUCCAAUUCCCCAAAGAACACUCGAGACUAUCUAGGCAUAUGUGUGCUAGAGAGACAUCACUCUGGUAGUCGGUGAACUACACAUUAACAGUAAACUUGGGGGUAGAGAAGACGGUCUCCAUAGAGGACCAGCCUCCUUCCUGAUCAACUUCAGAGAAGCCAGUACACAGGCAGACUCCACGCAGCUGUUCCCAUCAGCAGAGGCAACCGGGCGAUAAAUUGUAGAACUGUAGGGAGAGGCUCUUCAACAGAGAGUAAUUUUAUAAAAAUCUCAUAACGGGACUGGAGGAAAAUGUUCCACUUGUGUGGCAUUCAUGUGAGGCUGCAGGCAGGGAACCCAACUCUGUGUGCAGAGGACACCUGUCCUCACGGAAGGGACCCAAGGGCUCAGUCCCUUGCCAGGUCACCUCCUAAGCUAUGUCACCCCCUGGACUGCUCACCCCCUGGGCAGCUUGCCCCCUGGCCUUUCAAAUCAUGCUCACCCAUCUAAUCAAAUUUCCGCAGUGUCCUCAAAUAAAGUUCAAAGCUGACGGGGCCCAGAAGGGCCAUUCCG
Molecule: non-coding RNA, 2158 nt
Organism: Rattus norvegicus (Norway rat)
Lineage: Eukaryota; Metazoa; Chordata; Mammalia; Rodentia; Muridae
Source: RefSeq, a predicted model, not a curated record